AUGUCGUGCAGUUCACCGGCAACCAACAGCCUCCUCGACCACUCCUCUGCUCCCUUGUGCGGUUUUCUUGGCACGGCAGCGCGGUUCUUCACUCUGCAUUUGGUUCUGGUCGCGCUCUAUGUGCAGUUUGGUGCGUACGCGCUUGCGGUUCGCCCGGCCACGACAUGCAGAUAUCCACCACUCCUCUCUCUGAAUUCGUCCGCCGGCGGGAUCCUCAAGUGGGCACUCCUAAUCUUCUCUGUUGCAGGAGCUACGCCAGCAAGGGCUCGUGCAGUGCGCAAAAAUAGAAAAAACUAUCAUUGA
Molecule: ribosomal RNA, 303 nt
Filed under: Triticum aestivum (bread wheat)
Lineage: Eukaryota; Viridiplantae; Streptophyta; Magnoliopsida; Poales; Poaceae
Description: partial small subunit ribosomal RNA
Source: RNAcentral